UACCUGCAGUCGAGCGGCAGCGCGGGGGCAACCCUGGCGGCGAGCGGCGGACGGGUGAGGAAUGCGUCGGAAUCUGCCUCUUUGUGGGGGAUAACGUAGGGAAACUUACGCUAAUACCGCAUACGACCUACGGGUGAAAGUGGGGGACCGCAAGGCCUCACGCAGAGAGAUGAGCCGACGCCGGAUUAGCUAGUUGGCGGGGUAAAGGCCCACCAAGGCGACGAUCCGUAGCUGGUCUGAGAGGAUGAUCAGCCACACUGGAACUGAGACACGGUCCAGACUCCUACGGGAGGCAGCAGUGGGGAAUAUUGGACAAUGGGCGCAAGCCUGAUCCAGCCAUGCCGCGUGUGUGAAGAAGGCCUUCGGGUUGUAAAGCACUUUUGUCCGGAAAGAAAUCCAAUCGAUUAAUACUCGGUUGGGAUGACGGUACCGGAAGAAUAAGCACCGGCUAACUUCGUGCCAGCAGCCGCGGUAAUACGAAGGGUGCAAGCGUUACUCGGAAUUACUGGGCGUAAAGCGUGCGUAGGUGGUUCGUUAAGUCUGAUGUGAAAGCCCUGGGCUCAACCUGGGAAUGGCAUUGGAUACUGGCGACCUAGAGUGCGGUAGAGGGUAGCGGAAUUCCCGGUGUAGCAGUGAAAUGCGUAGAUAUCGGGAGGAACAUCCGUGGCGAAGGCGGCUACCUGGACCAGCACUGACACUGAGGCACGAAAGCGUGGGGAGCAAACAGGAUUAGAUACCCUGGUAGUCCACGCCCUAAACGAUGCGAACUGGAUGUUGGGUGCAACUUGGCACUCAGUAUCGAAGCUAACGCGUUAAGUUCGCCGCCUGGGAAGUACGGUCGCAAGACUGAAACUCAAAGGAAUUGACGGGGGCCCGCACAAGCGGUGGAGUAUGUGGUUUAAUUCGAUGCAACGCGCAGAACCUUACCUGGCCUUGACAUGUCGCGAACUUUCCAAAAAUGGAUUGGUGCCUUCGGGAACGCGAACACAGGUGCUGCAUGGCUGUCCUCACCUCGGGCCGUGAAAUGUUGGGUUAAGUCCCGAAAGAAGGGAACCC
RNAcentral lists this ribosomal RNA (1056 nucleotides) under Lysobacter sp. Its description in RNAcentral is "bacterial SSU rRNA". It matches the Rfam family "Bacterial small subunit ribosomal RNA", at positions 52 to 1104 of the family's 1533-position model. The record is from RNAcentral. Lineage: Bacteria; Pseudomonadati; Pseudomonadota; Gammaproteobacteria; Lysobacterales; Lysobacteraceae.